UUUUCUUUAGUAUAAUAAGUAUAUUUAACUUCCAAUUAAAAGGUUUAAUUUAAAGAAAAA
This 60-nucleotide transfer RNA is filed under the name Ishiharodelphax matsuyamensis. RNAcentral describes it as "tRNA-Gly". RNAcentral also lists the same sequence under 1 other name. The record is from RNAcentral. Lineage: Eukaryota; Metazoa; Arthropoda; Insecta; Hemiptera; Delphacidae.